This 497-nucleotide ribosomal RNA is filed under the name uncultured bacterium. RNAcentral describes it as "partial 16S ribosomal RNA". It matches the Rfam family "Bacterial small subunit ribosomal RNA", at positions 28 to 507 of the family's 1533-position model. The record is from RNAcentral.
GAUGAACGCUGGCGGCGUGCCUAAUACAUGCAAGUCGAGCGAACAGACGAGGAGCUUGCUCCUCUGACGUUAGCGGCGGACGGGUGAGUAACACGUGGAUAACCUACCUAUAAGACUGGGAUAACUUCGGGAAACCGGAGCUAAUACCGGAUAAUAUAUUGAACCGCAUGGUUCAAUAGUGAAAGACGGUUUUGCUGUCACUUAUAGAUGGAUCCGCGCCGCAUUAGCUAGUUGGUAAGGUAACGGCUUACCAAGGCAACGAUGCGUAGCCGACCUGAGAGGGUGAUCGGCCACACUGGAACUGAGACACGGUCCAGACUCCUACGGGAGGCAGCAGUAGGGAAUCUUCCGCAAUGGGCGAAAGCUUGACGGAGCAACGCCGCGUGAGUGAUGAAGGUCUUCGGAUCGUAAAACUCUGUUAUUAGGGAAGAACAAAUGUGUAAGUAACUAUGCACGUCUUGAGGGUACCUAAUCAGAAAGCCACGGCUAACUACGUG